Long non-coding RNA from Esox lucius (northern pike), 1466 nucleotides. The record is from Ensembl. Lineage: Eukaryota; Metazoa; Chordata; Actinopteri; Esociformes; Esocidae.
GCUCAUCAUGACUCAGCAUAUUCUCUGAAAUGGAAAGAUUUCCUUAUCUAUGGGCUCACUCAUCCUCCCAAGAUUUUGCCAAGACAGUCAAGGACAAGCUACAGGUCCUUCUGUCCUCAAUAUGAGAUAACAACAACCACUCAUUGCACUGACCAUGGGAACAAUAGUUCAUCACUCUCUCUUAACCAUUAAACUGUUUGGGAAAAUAAUAUGAGCCCUGGUUAAAUGUUUUAUCAAUUAACACUCAAUUAAUAUGCAAGUGAUCACAUGAGACGUUCUGUCUACUCUUCAUCAGGUUAAUGUGAAAUAACAUUUUAUGAAAAUAUCCCUACAACACACAUUCGCAUCAGUUCGUCGCUCAAUCGCGAGUUACAGCCUGCAGUUUGCUAGCUAACAAAGUCAUCGACUACCAUCGUUUAAAUACCUUGGCCAGAGCAUAACCGGUUAUCUUCACCCAAGAGACCUACUGUUGGUCAAUCGUUUUGGUUUUAAAGGUAAAUGCAUUGUUAGUCACAAUGUCUAGUUACUGGGCCAAAAGGAAAAUAAUAUUGAAAAGAGUUGCGAGGGACAAACAGGACAUUCACUUGAAUCACUACAUGCUACAGAAGUUGCAUCGAUUCCAGAAAACCAGGAAAAUUUUGAGCCAUCUGUAGACUUCAGAGCUGAACCAGGUUUCUCCCCAGUAAUCCAGACUCCACUUCACAGAGCCAAGAAUUUGAGUACAACUCGUCAAGUACUAAGCUUUACACCCCCAGCAGCAAAUUUACCCUGGCAGCAUAUGGGUAAAAACGCUGGAGGAGAAAGUCAUCGCUUUGUUAUUGGCCCUUGGACGCCCCUGGCAUCUCGUGUACAGCACAAAGUUUUCAGCUAUGAAGAUUUCCAGUGACUCCAGAAUGAAAACCAAGCUCUGAGGGAGGAGAACCAAGCCCUGAGGGAAUGCAAUGCACAAGCAGCUUCGGAUGACAGCGGCUCACUUCAAGAGCAGGUGAAGCAAGUAGGGACAAUGUUGAAGACGUUUGCUCUCACUGGGCAAUCAGGUACAACUUGCAAACAACACCUGUGGUUGUUAGUUUAAUACCUGUACAUGUAGUAGACCUAGAUAUAAAUGUCGUAGUUUAGUAUUUGAGUAUAUUUUUAUAUACAUAUAUAUGUCAAGUUUUGUUUAUCACAGAUACAAGAGACACAGAUCUUAUUGCAGCAUGGUGUAAAUCUUGUACUCCAGGUCAGCAAUGCCAUUAUAACGGUCUAUUCUACUCUAGAGCUUUACUCUAAAUUAUUACCACUUUUCCUAUUGUUAGAAAUGGCUUGAAAAUGUGAUGUUAUACCUCGAUUUAUUUGGUAUCCUGCACAUUCUUUGGUACCAAAUAUCCUCAUUACUUAUGUUUACUGGUAAUUAUUUUCAUCCCAGAGCUGACCUCUUUAUAUUAUUAACAAUUAUUGUGUUUGUUAUAAUUUGCUUGUAUGGC